AAGAGCCGGAUGAGGGGAGACUUUCAAGUCCGGUUCUGUGAGAAGCUAGGGGUGAAACUCCCUUGGUUUACUCGAC
This is a non-coding RNA of Alkaliphilus metalliredigens QYMF, 76 nucleotides long. NCBI's taxonomy places the organism in Bacteria, Bacillati, Bacillota, Clostridia, Peptostreptococcales, Natronincolaceae. The record is from Rfam.